RNAcentral lists this ribosomal RNA (497 nucleotides) under uncultured bacterium. RNAcentral's name for it is "partial 16S ribosomal RNA". It matches the Rfam family "Bacterial small subunit ribosomal RNA", at positions 28 to 507 of the family's 1533-position model. The record is from RNAcentral.
GAUGAACGCUGGCGGCGUGCCUAAUACAUGCAAGUCGAGCGAACGGACGAGAAGCUUGCUGCUCUGAUGUUAGCGGCGGACGGGUGAGUAACACGUGGAUAACCUACCUAUAAGACUGGGAUAACUUCGGGAAACCGGAGCUAAUACCGGAUAAUAUUUUGAACCGCAUGGUUCAAAAGUGAAAGACGGUCUUGCUGUCACUUAUAGAUGGAUCCGCGCUGCAUUAGCUAGUUGGUAAGGUAACGGCUUACCAAGGCAACGAUGCAUAGCCGACCUGAGAGGGGGAUCGGCCACACUAGAACUGGGACACGGUCCAGGCUCCUACGGGAGGCAGCAGUAGGGAAUCUUCCGCAAUGGGCGAAAGCCUGACGGAGCAACGCCGCGUGAGUGAUGAAGGCCUUCGGAUCGUAAAACUCUGUUAUUAGGGAAGAACAUAUGUGUAAGUAACUGUGCACAUCUUGACGGUACCUAAUCAGAAAGCCACGGCUAACUACGUG